GACGAACCGAGCGAACGUUAUUCGGAAUCACUGGGCUUAAAGGGCGCGUAGGCGGGCCAUCAAGUCAGGGGUGAAAGCCCCCAGCUCAACUGGGGAAGUGCCUUUGAUACUGGUGGUCUCGAGGGGGAUAGGGGCAUGCGGAACUUCCGGUGGAGCGGUGAAAUGCGUAGAUAUCGGAAGGAACACCGGUGGCGAAAGCGGCGUGCUGGAUCCCUUCUGACGCUGAGGCGCGAAAGCGUGGGGAGCGAACAGG
This 253-nucleotide ribosomal RNA is filed under the name uncultured bacterium. Its description in RNAcentral is "partial 16S ribosomal RNA". It matches the Rfam family "Bacterial small subunit ribosomal RNA", at positions 524 to 776 of the family's 1533-position model. The record is from RNAcentral.